Molecule: ribosomal RNA, 2655 nt
Filed under: Escherichia coli
Lineage: Bacteria; Pseudomonadati; Pseudomonadota; Gammaproteobacteria; Enterobacterales; Enterobacteriaceae
Description: bacterial LSU rRNA
Rfam family: Bacterial large subunit ribosomal RNA
Source: RNAcentral
ACUAUCAUUAACUGAAUCCAUAGGUUAAUGAGGCGAACCGGGGGAACUGAAACAUCUAAGUACCCCGAGGAAAAGAAAUCAACCGAGAUUCCCCCAGUAGCGGCGAGCGAACGGGGAGGAGCCCAGAGCCUGAAUCAGUGUGUGUGUUAGUGGAAGCGUCUGGAAAGGCGCGCGAUACAGGGUGACAGCCCCGUACACAAAAAUGCACAUAUUGUGAGCUCGAUGAGUAGGGCGGGACACGUGGUAUCCUGUCUGAAUAUGGGGGGACCAUCCUCCAAGGCUAAAUACUCCUGACUGACCGAUAGUGAACCAGUACCGUGAGGGAAAGGCGAAAAGAACCCCGGCGAGGGGAGUGAAAAAGAACCUGAAACCGUGUACGUACAAGCAGUGGGAGCCUCUUAAUGGGGUGACUGCGUACCUUUUGUAUAAUGGGUCAGCGACUUAUAUUCUGUAGCAAGGUUAACCGAAUAGGGGAGCCGAAGGGAAACCGAGUCUUAACUGGGCGUUAAGUUGCAGGGUAUAGACCCGAAACCCGGUGAUCUAGCCAUGGGCAGGUUGAAGGUUGGGUAACACUAACUGGAGGACCGAACCGACUAAUGUUGAAAAAUUAGCGGAUGACUUGUGGCUGGGGGUGAAAGGCCAAUCAAACCGGGAGAUAGCUGGUUCUCCCCGAAAGCUAUUUAGGUAGCGCCUCGUGAAUUCAUCUCCGGGGGUAGAGCACUGUUUCGGCAAGGGGGUCAUCCCGACUUACCAACCCGAUGCAAACUGCGAAUACCGGAGAAUGUUAUCACGGGAGACACACGGCGGGUGCUAACGUCCGUCGUGAAGAGGGAAACAACCCAGACCGCCAGCUAAGGUCCCAAAGUCAUGGUUAAGUGGGAAACGAUGUGGGAAGGCCCAGACAGCCAGGAUGUUGGCUUAGAAGCAGCCAUCAUUUAAAGAAAGCGUAAUAGCUCACUGGUCGAGUCGGCCUGCGCGGAAGAUGUAACGGGGCUAAACCAUGCACCGAAGCUGCGGCAGCGACACUAUGUGUUGUUGGGUAGGGGAGCGUUCUGUAAGCCUGUGAAGGUGGCCUGUGAGGGUUGCUGGAGGUAUCAGAAGUGCGAAUGCUGACAUAAGUAACGAUAAAGCGGGUGAAAAGCCCGCUCGCCGGAAGACCAAGGGUUCCUGUCCAACGUUAAUCGGGGCAGGGUGAGUCGACCCCUAAGGCGAGGCCGAAAGGCGUAGUCGAUGGGAAACAGGUUAAUAUUCCUGUACUUGGUGUUACUGCGAAGGGGGGACGGAGAAGGCUAUGUUGGCCGGGCGACGGUUGUCCCGGUUUAAGCGUGUAGGCUGGUUUUCCAGGCAAAUCCGGAAAAUCAAGGCUGAGGCGUGAUGACGAGGCACUACGGUGCUGAAGCGACAAAUGCCCUGCUUCCAGGAAAAGCCUCUAAGCAUCAGGUAACAUCAAAUCGUACCCCAAACCGACACAGGUGGUCAGGUAGAGAAUACCAAGGCGCUUGAGAGAACUCGGGUGAAGGAACUAGGCAAAAUGGUGCCGUAACUUCGGGAGAAGGCACGCUGAUAUGUAGGUGAAGCGACUUGCUCGUGGAGCUGAAAUCAGUCGAAGAUACCAGCUGGCUGCAACUGUUUAUUAAAAACACAGCACUGUGCAAACACGAAAGUGGACGUAUACGGUGUGACGCCUGCCCGGUGCCGGAAGGUUAAUUGAUGGGGUUAGCGGUAACGCGAAGCUCUUGAUCGAAGCCCCGGUAAACGGCGGCCGUAACUAUAACGGUCCUAAGGUAGCGAAAUUCCUUGUCGGGUAAGUUCCGACCUGCACGAAUGGCGUAAUGAUGGCCAGGCUGUCUCCACCCGAGACUCAGUGAAAUUGAACUCGCUGUGAAGAUGCAGUGUACCCGCGGCAAGACGGAAAGACCCCGUGAACCUUUACUAUAGCUUGACACUGAACAUUGAGCCUUGAUGUGUAGGAUAGGUGGGAGGCUUUGAAGUGUGGACGCCAGUCUGCAUGGAGCCGACCUUGAAAUACCACCCUUUAAUGUUUGAUGUUCUAACGUGGGCCCCUUACCGGGGUUGCGGACAGUGUCUGGUGGGUAGUUUGACUGGGGCGGUCUCCUCCUAAAGAGUAACGGAGGAGCACGAAGGUUGGCUAAUCCUGGUCGGACAUCAGGAGGUUAGUGCAAUGGCAUAAGCCAGCUUGACUGCGAGCGUGACGGCGCGAGCAGGUGCGAAAGCAGGUCAUAGUGAUCCGGUGGUUCUGAAUGGAAGGGCCAUCGCUCAACGGAUAAAAGGUACUCCGGGGAUAACAGGCUGAUACCGCCCAAGAGUUCAUAUCGACGGCGGUGUUUGGCACCUCGAUGUCGGCUCAUCACAUCCUGGGGCUGAAGUAGGUCCCAAGGGUAUGGCUGUUCGCCAUUUAAAGUGGUACGCGAGCUGGGUUUAGAACGUCGUGAGACAGUUCGGUCCCUAUCUGCCGUGGGCGCUGGAGAACUGAGGGGGGCUGCUCCUAGUACGAGAGGACCGGAGUGGACGCAUCACUGGUGUUCGGGUUGUCAUGCCAAUGGCACUGCCCGGUAGCUAAAUGCGGAAGAGAUAAGUGCUGAAAGCAUCUAAGCACGAAACUUGCCCCGAGAUGAGUUCUCCCUGACUCCUUGA